RNAcentral lists this ribosomal RNA (515 nucleotides) under uncultured bacterium. RNAcentral describes it as "partial 16S ribosomal RNA". It matches the Rfam family "Bacterial small subunit ribosomal RNA", at positions 28 to 523 of the family's 1533-position model. The record is from RNAcentral.
GAUGAACGCUGGCGGCGUGCCUAAUACAUGCAAGUCGAGCGAAUGGAUUAAGAGCUUGCUCUUAUGAAGUUAGCGGCGGACGGGUGAGUAACACGUGGGUAACCUGCCCAUAAGACUGGGAUAACUCCGGGAAACCGGGGCUAAUACCGGAUAAUAUUUUGAACUGCAUGGUUCAAAAUUGAAAGGCGGCUUCGGCUGUCACUUAUGGAUGGACCCGGGUCGCAUUAGCUAGUUGGUGAGGUAACGGCUCACCAAGGCAACGAUGCGUAGCCGACCUGAGAGGGUGAUCGGCCACACUGGGACUGAGACACGGCCCAGACUCCUACGGGAGGCAGCAGUAGGGAAUCUUCCGCAAUGGACGAAAGUCUGACGGAGCAACGCCGCGUGAGUGAUGAAGGCUUUCGGGUCGUAAAACUCUGUUGUUAGGGAAGAACAAGUGCUAGUUGAAUAAGCUGGCACCUUGACGGUACCUAACCAGAAAGCACCGGCUAACUACGUGCCAGCAGCCGCGGUAA